GGGUGGCUAGUUUAACUAAAACCCCUAAUUUCGACUUAUCAAAUCUCACCAAUAUGAGGUCACCAA
Molecule: transfer RNA, 66 nt
Filed under: Gekko chinensis (Gray's Chinese gecko)
Lineage: Eukaryota; Metazoa; Chordata; Lepidosauria; Squamata; Gekkonidae
Description: tRNA-Arg
Source: RNAcentral